AUGCAUGUCUUCCUGAAGAAGAGGCCAAAUGGGAGGAAGAUUCCCACCAAAGUGCACCUGCUGCCACUGCAGGGCCUGAGCAUCCAGCAUCAAGCACAAGGGCAGCGCCAGCACCUGCUCCGGCUGCCUCUGCACCCGAGGAAGAGGCUGAAGAGGAGGAAGGUGCCAAUGACCCUGCUGCUGCUGUCAGCCGUGGCCUGAGCAGCCAGCAUCAGUAAGUGCCUGUUUGGGUUAGCAGUGUCUUUGGUGACAUUUUGUCCCUCAUGUAAAAGCAGGGUUUGGGUUCGGGGCCUUGAGCUGGAGAAGUGGGCUGCAAAAGCUGAGAGGUGAAGAGCCCUGGAUGUGGCCAGCAGCAUCUUCCUCAGGGCUUGCAUUUGAAAUGAGAUCGGAGGGGCAUCUCUGCCAGGCACAUUUGUGACCCAAAUUAAUUUCUUGUCCCAGAGCUCCAGCUCCUCUGUCGUGGCACCUGCACAAGCUGCAGCUGAAGAAGCCUCCAGUGCCCAAGCUGGAAACUCAAGCAGGAGCAGCUCGUGCACCUGGAGCACGACUAGUUCCUCUGGCAGCAUGGAGCUGCUGGGAGAGAGGACAGAGGACAAGUGCCUGGCCAUGCUGAGUACGUCCUUUGUGACCCUUGUGUGCCGCAGCAGUGCCUGGUGUGUGUGUGCGUGUGUCAGC
Molecule: long non-coding RNA, 675 nt
Filed under: Taeniopygia guttata (zebra finch)
Lineage: Eukaryota; Metazoa; Chordata; Aves; Passeriformes; Estrildidae
Description: lncRNA (ENSTGUG00000028977.1)
Source: RNAcentral